AAGAAAUAUGUUUACAACCAUAACCACCCCAUUACUCCACUUCUGCAUUUUUUUCAUCGUCUAACUGCUCCUAAGAAACAAACCCAUAUUAUCCAACUUUUUUUCUUCAUUCAACACUGCUCAGAUCUCUUUGAAUGUUUUCUUCCCAUAAUUUGGUUCUUCAGUACAGACGAAGAUGGUUUAGGGAUUUCAAUUUCAUCAAAGAUCUCCCAAUCGAUAUAUUCAAAGUCCCAAGAGUUUUUCGUUCAGUUAAGGGAAGGAAGGAGUCUGAAGACUACUAUCAAGAAUCUAUUACACAUCCCGAUAAAGCCACGAUCUUCAGAAUCUUCAGUUUUUCAUACCAAAAAGGUUUUGGUUUCCUCCAUUUAAUUUAGACUAUUAAUUUUGUGGGUUUUCUCAAAAUUUUCAAUUAUGUGUAGUACAAUUGGAUGCAUCGUUCUUCUUAAUUUUCAAAAUUAUAUGAAAUUUCAGUUCAUACACAGGUUGGUUUGGUUUCUACUACUGUAGUUUAGAUUUUUCAGUUCCAUUAUACUGUUGUUAUUGUGCGUUUUUCACAAUUUCCCAAUUGAUAUGGUUAGUUCAAUUGUUUUAUUGCUCUGCAGAUAUUAGAUAAAGGAUUGCACCCAUUAGCUGCAUUGUUCUUCUUAUAACAUUUGAUAUUUUGCAGGUAGUACUAUGUCUCUGCGUUCACAUAUCUAUUUGAAACUAAUAGAGAUAUAAGAUCUCUCACACUUUUGAUUUCAAGUUGAUCUCUCUAAGCAGCAUGUUCAAUUGUUUAUUAUUUUCAAAGAGCAAACCUAAUGCGCUUUAACUGUUUGUUAAAAUGCUGAGCAGAAUUUCAUCCUAAAUUCUGCUGUUUUGUGAUAUAAUCCAUAACUCUAAGGCUAAGAUUCAGUUUAGGUCUAUGAGAAACUCCAAGCAAAAGGGUACCUUGAUUAUGAACGAGUUUCAAUUACAUAUGAAAAGUCACCAAAAGGAGCAGGAUUAUGUAAGACAUCCGCCAAAGUUAACACUAAUUUGUUCACUGUUGAACAAUGCCAGAUUAUGGAAGUUGCUUUGAAGUAUGGAAGUUGGAACGCACACAUUGGCACUGUCAUCAAAUCUUUCUUUGGUAAAUUUUCUAUGCAGCUUCUCACAAUUUUGUUACUUUGCGUGGCAUCCAUUCAUUGUGUGGAUAAUAUAUAAAGAGUACAUUCUUUACUUCUUUUAAUUACCUGUACAUUAUGUUGCUAAUACUUUGCAGAUCGAUCGAUUUAAAAAAUUCUUAUCUAAUUCUGUUAUUGCCUCCAGAGGUA
Molecule: long non-coding RNA, 1295 nt
Organism: Papaver somniferum (opium poppy)
Lineage: Eukaryota; Viridiplantae; Streptophyta; Magnoliopsida; Ranunculales; Papaveraceae
Exons: 3
Source: RefSeq, a predicted model, not a curated record